CUACCCUUGGUCAGGUUGAAGUUCAGGUAACACUGAAUGGAGGACCGAACCGACUUACGUUGAAAAGUGAGCGGAUGAACUGAGGGUAGCGGAGAAAUUUCAAUCGAACCUGGAGAUAGCUGGUUCUCUCCGAAAUAGCUUUAGGGCUAGCCUCAAGUGAUGAUUAUUGGAGGUAGAGCACUGUUUGGACGAGGGGCCCCUCUCGGGUUACCGAAUUCAGACAAACUCCGAAUGCCAAUUAAUUUAACUUGGGAGUCAGAACAUGGGUGAUAAGGUCCGUGUUCGAAAGGGAAACAGCCCAGACCACCAGCUAAGGUCCCAAAAUAUAUGUUAAGUGGAAAAGGAUGUGGCGUUGCCCAGACAACUAGGAUGUUGGCUUAGAAGCAGCCAUCAUUUAAAGAGUGCGUAAUAGCUCACUAGUCGAGUGACACUGCGCCGAAAAUGUACCGGGGCUAAACAUAUUACCGAAGCUGUGGAUUGUCCUUUGGACAAUGGUAGGAGAGCGUUCUAAGGGCGUUGAAGCAUGAUCGUAAGGACAUGUGGAGCGCUUAGAAGUGAGAAUGCCGGUGUGAGUAGCGAAAGACGGGUGAGAAUCCCGUCCACCGAUUGACUAAGGUUUCCAGAGGAAGGCUCGUCCGCUCUGGGUUAGUCGGGUCCUAAGCUGAGGCCGACAGGCGUAGGCGAUGGAUAACAGGUUGAUAUUCCUGUACCACCUAUAAUCGUUUUAAUCGAUGGGGGGACGCAGUAGGAUAGGCGAAGCGUGCGAUUGGAUUGCACGUCUAAGCAGUAAGGCUGAGUAUUAGGCAAAUCCGGUACUCGUUAAGGCUGAGCUGUGAUGGGGAGAAGACAUUGUGUCUUCGAGUCGUUGAUUUCACACUGCCGAGAAAAGCCUCUAGAUAGAAAAUAGGUGCCCGUACCGCAAACCGACACAGGUAGUCAAGAUGAGAAUUCUAAGGUGAGCGAGCGAACUCUCGUUAAGGAACUCGGCAAAAUGACCCCGUAACUUCGGGAGAAGGGGUGCUCUUUAGGGUUAACGCCCAGAAGAGCCGCAGUGAAUAGGCCCAAGCGACUGUUUAUCAAAAACACAGGUCUCUGCUAAACCGUAAGGUGAUGUAUAGGGGCUGACGCCUGCCCGGUGCUGGAAGGUUAAGAGGAGUGGUUAGCUUCUGCGAAGCUACGAAUCGAAGCCCCAGUAAACGGCGGCCGUAACUAUAACGGUCCUAAGGUAGCGAAAUUCCUUGUCGGGUAAGUUCCGACCCGCACGAAAGGCGUAACGAUUUGGGCACUGUCUCAACGAGAGACUCGGUGAAAUCAUAGUACCUGUGAAGAUGCAGGUUACCCGCGACAGGACGGAAAGACCCCGUGGAGCUUUACUGUAGCCUGAUAUUGAAAUUCGGCACAGCUUGUACAGGAUAGGUAGGAGCCUUUGAAACGUGAGCGCUAGCUUACGUGGAGGCGCUGGUGGGAUACUACCCUAGCUGUGUUGGCUUUCUAACCCGCACCACUUAUCGUGGUGGGAGACAGUGUCAGGCGGGCAGUUUGACUGGGGCGGUCGCCUCCUAAAAGGUAACGGAGGCGCUCAAAGGUUCCCUCAGAAUGGUUGGAAAUCAUUCAUAGAGUGUAAAGGCAUAAGGGAGCUUGACUGCGAGACCUACAAGUCGAGCAGGGUCGAAAGACGGACUUAGUGAUCCGGUGGUUCCGCAUGGAAGGGCCAUCGCUCAACGGAUAAAAGCUACCCCGGGGAUAACAGGCUUAUCUCCCCCAAGAGUUCACAUCGACGGGGAGGUUUGGCACCUCGAUGUCGGCUCAUCGCAUCCUGGGGCUGUAGUCGGUCCCAAGGGUUGGGCUGUUCGCCCAUUAAAGCGGUACGCGAGCUGGGUUCAGAACGUCGUGAGACAGUUCGGUCCCUAUCCGUCGUGGGCGUAGGAAAUUUGAGAGGAGCUGUCCUUAGUACGAGAGGACCGGGAUGGACAUACCUCUGGUGUACCAGUUGUCGUGCCAACGGCAUAGCUGGGUAGCUAUGUGUGGACGGGAUAAGUGCUGAAAGCAUCUAAGCAUGAAGCCCCCCUCAAGAUGAGAUUUCCCAACUUCGGUUAUAAGAUCCCUCAAAGAUGAUGAGGUUAAUAGGUUCGAGGUGGAAGCAUGGUGACAUGUGGAGCUGACGAAUACUAAUCGAUCGAAGACUUAAUCAA
Molecule: ribosomal RNA, 2192 nt
Filed under: Staphylococcus aureus
Lineage: Bacteria; Bacillati; Bacillota; Bacilli; Caryophanales; Staphylococcaceae
Description: partial 23S ribosomal RNA
Rfam family: Bacterial large subunit ribosomal RNA
Source: RNAcentral